This is a long non-coding RNA of Musa acuminata subsp. malaccensis (wild Malaysian banana), 1645 nucleotides long. RefSeq lists it as uncharacterized. NCBI's taxonomy places the organism in Eukaryota, Viridiplantae, Streptophyta, Magnoliopsida, Zingiberales, Musaceae. The record is from RefSeq and is a predicted model, not a curated record.
CCUUACACACCAAACUGGCUUCCCUUCUCCCAGAGAGAAAGAAGCAUACUUCACCAUCCCCCACCACCUGCAUGAGGUGAAUAAUAGUUGAGACCUGGGAGGACAGAAUGCAGUGUAUCCACCCCAAAGUCUCAAACCUCUUCUUCCUUUCCCUCAUCUUCCCACAGAUUAGCAAAGGCAGAUUGCAGACUUCCUCUCACCAAACUCAUGUAGAAAAGAAAAGCAGCAUCCGUCCAUCUCAGCCUCACUGGAACUGUCUUCUCCUCUGAAGCAUACAUCUCAUCAAACAUUCCUGUCACUUGCAUUCCUCACCAUACUCCCCUCUUCUUACCCUCUCAUUAAGCUUCUUUGAUUUCCUCCCUCCCUCCCUCCCUCCUGAUUAGCACAACUGGUCCGAUGCGUGAUGGAUUUGAGUGAGAGUUUCUUUAAGGAAGUCAGCAGCCUGUGCAGUGGUUUCCAAGGAACAACUGAGAGGAAACUAAACAUCUGAGCCUAUUGAGUUCUGUCAACCCGGAAAAAUCUGUCUCAGACCACCGAGUUGUCUGCAAUCCAAGUGAAGGCCAUCACACCAUCAUAUCUCAUGAGAAGUGCCAUAACUUGCGACCUCAUCGUGCUUGUUGCGUUAACCUAAACGCACCAUGAACCACUUGAGCUCAGAGUCAAGAACACGAAAGGAUGAGAUUUAUAGUAAACCGAAUCGAGCCGGUUCGACGGAAGGCAGAGGGAGGAGGACGAAGAGGCUGGUGAGCGCUUCGGACGCAGACGGCAGAAGGCACCCACCUCGAGAGCCAGAGCACAGAGGCUCCCCUACAAAUUACUUCAGCACGGAGUCGUUUGUCGUGAUGAUCUGCUUGACCGUGUCUCUGCUGAUACUGCCUCUCAUACUGCCGCCACUGCCGCCGCCACCUUCGAUGCUGCUUCUGCUUCCUAUAGGCCUACUUGUUGUGCUGAUGAUCCUAGCUUUCAUGCCCUCAGACAUAAGAAACAUUACUUCCUCUUCCUUGUAGAAAUGUUGGGAUUUGAGCUACGUCUUUUUCACUCUACUGAUAGUUCUACAGAGGUGAUUACUAGUUUAUGAUAGAUUGGAACCGAAAUGUGGUCACUCUGCUGUACAUGAGGUAUUUGUAUCAUAUCACAUCCACGGAAACUAAUCCAAGAAAGGCAAAGAAGGAUUUCUUAGUUAUGGUUACAGAGACGAUGAACAUUUCUUUCUGCUUGACAAGCGUUACCGUAAUCCAAAUAUGCAAGAGAUCGAUGAUGAAGCCAUAUUGUUGGUCACAAGACAUUCGAUUUGGAAAUGGUAUCGGAGGCUCUAUUUGUAGUGGGUGGACCAAACCAUAUGCAAUUGAGGGGACUCUGUCUCGGUAUUGUCUUGUUCAUGGCAGAGGGGGGUAGUCUUUAGUCUUCUCCUGCUGCAUGUACUGAGAAAUCUGCGUUCUGGACACCACCGAACAGGAACUACUGUAAGGGGUUGCUGAAGGCAUACUGAAGAGGGGCUGAUGACGAUGAUGAUGAUGUUGGGAUGUUGCAUGAUCCAUGUAAACAUGCAAACGAGCGCUACGUUAGAAGUAGAAUGUCAACUUUCAUGAGAAAGUGACUCAAAGCUGGUCAACGCAGACAACAAUAAUCAUUGCAUCUUUGUUGU